GGAUGUAGCUUAGUUUGGUAGAGCGCUAGCUUCGGGAGUUAGAGGUCGCAGGUUCAAAUCCCGUCAUCC
Molecule: transfer RNA, 69 nt
Filed under: bovine gut metagenome
Rfam family: tRNA
About the family: Transfer RNA (tRNA) molecules are approximately 80 nucleotides in length.
Source: RNAcentral